CUCCUCAUCUUCUCCUCAGACUACAAAUGUAAUGGUUGGAGCUCCAGCAGCUAUCUUCUUCCCUGAGGUGGCCUUAAGAAUGGAAGUCCUCACAUUAGGGUGACAAGAGAAAAGGAGUCUGGGUCCCUGAUCCGUGGGACACUAACUCCCUAUCCCAGCUGCCUACCUCAAAUGUAUUUCAAGUGAUUGCCUUGGUUUCCGAUUGUUGCUCGGACAAAUCACUCCAAAGUUACUAGCUUAAAAUGACACUUUUUUUUUUUUUAACCAUGGUAUUCUAUAGACCAGAGUCUGACAGGGGUCUUAAUGGGCAAGAUCUAGGUGUCAGCAGGAUGUAUGGUAGUUGUGCCUCCUAGUCUUUUCCAGAUUCUAGAAGCUCCCCACACUCCUUGGAUCAUGGCCUCUCAUUCUGUCUUCAAAGCAGCAAUAUCAGGCGUAUCCUUCUCAUACUGCCAUCACUUUGGUUCUCUCUUACGAUUUCCUCUUCCACUAUAAAGUAUUUUGGGGAUAGCAUAGGACCUACCUGAAUAAUCCAGGAUGAUUAAGGUCAGUUUAUUAGCGACUUUGAUUUCAACUGCCUCCUCAAUUCCCCUUUGCCACAUAACCUAAGAUAUUCACAGGUUCCAGAGAUCGGGACAUAGACACACAGUGGAAGAGAAAUAAAUUUCUAUCUUAUACAAACCACUGAUUUUCAAGUCUUUGUUGCCCACAGCUGAGCCUAACGUAUUCCUGUGACAGACACUUGUUGAAUACCCACUGCCAUGCCAUGGUGGUGCUGGCUGGGGUCUGAUAAUACUGGAUGAUCUAAUAUUUCUGGUCCUCCAGAGGCCGUGAGACUCAUCUUACAACAUCACAUGGCCCCAGAAUCAUCCACAAGCCCACAGUAAUGCCACCAGAGAAGAAAGAGGCCAUUCACCAAUGAACUGACCACAGCUCCUGCUCCCCAGCCUCUCAGGUUUGCCUCAGCACAGAGAAGGAUCAGGGUCAGGAAGAGACUUGCCCAGGUGUCCAUAGAAGUUCAUGGCAUUGCCAAGACUAGAACCCAAGUCUCUGAAUACCACUCCUCCAUCACAUUAUUUUCCUGGGUUUUUCAAGGAAGGACAUACUGGACAUACUACCCUUGGUCCCUGGCACCCAGUCACAACCUCUGGCACAGGCCGAAGACCGUGUUUACCUCCAUUGCAAUGAUUCCAGUGACAUCAGAGACUUACAGAAUUUGGCUGGCCUUUCUUUAUUCUCUUUCUACCUCUGGGCUAUGCAUAGUGAAAUUCUCUGAUGGUAUUCAUUUUCCUGCCCUUCACACCCUCAUGCUCCAUUUUUCCUAUUUGUUAAGUAAGUUCCUAUGAGUACUUAAUAGGACUUAUGAGGUAACAUGGAUAGCCAAAGAUCAAGUUAAGGGCUCAGGCUUGUGAAGUUAUGUGAUUCAGUGCCAUCUUUGAUUUUGUCCUCCUCUAUCUCUCUGAUUGUCAGCAUUUCCAUCUUGAAAAAAAAGGGGGGGGAGGAGACAGCAAAUGUGCUUCAAAAUACUUGCAAGGAACAGCUCAUAAAACUCAUUGUGAGGCACAUUAGCACCGCACACAGUGUCAUCUAACUGCUUAUAAUGAAAUGUUGAGCAACUAGGAAUCCAGCUCACCCCAUCUGGCUCUGAGUCACACUCCCUAGUAACACUAAGUGAAAGUGAAGAGAACUUGCACCAGGCCAGGAUACAAAGCCGGGAAGUGCCUGACAGCCAACCUCACAUGGAGAUGUGCCUGAGAGCCAGUGGACCUGGAAAACCUUCAUAAAGCCAUUUGCUUAAACCCUUUGCUCUGCUCUUCUUAAAGAUCGAUUUCCCAAGCUCUCUUUGGUAACUGUUUCUGGGUUACACACCCAGAUAGUUGGAAAGACUUCCCUUAUGUAAUUCAAGUGUGUUUUCUUUGGCUCUGCCUUCAGUGGGAAGGGAAAAAAUUUAUUUGCAUUUCCCCCAUACCCCCACCUUUAUAGUAAUAUCCUUUCUGAUACCUCAUGGCUGGUAUUGAGAUAGCUCUUCUAUAGGACUUCUCAGUGUUCAUUGCACAUAAAUGCAGUGGGGUGUGUGUGUGUGUGUGUGUGUGUGUGUGUGUGUGUGUGUGUGUGACAUUUGCCAGGACUAGAACCCAGGUCUCUGAAUACCACUCCUGCAUCACAUUAUUUUCCUGGGUAUUUUGAUGAAGGACAUAUUGGACAUAAUCCCACAGGACAAACUCCCAUAAGAGUGUUUUGUUGUUGCUGUUGUUGUUUUAUGGCUGCACCUGCGGCAUAUGGAAGUUCCCAGGCCAGGGAUUGAAUCCAAGCCAAAGCUGCAACCUACACUGCAGCUGCAACAAUACCAGAUUCUUUAACACAUUGUGCUGGGCCAGGGAUCAAACCCACACCUCCACAGCAAUCCGAGCCACUGCAGUCAGAUUCUUAACCCACUACACUACAGUGGGACUCCCCCGUAAGAGUUUUCACAUUGUGUUAAAAAUGCUUGAGUCUGAGUGGUUUAGACCUGGAUGAGAUCUUAUAGAUCAUUUCUUCAAAAUAUCUAAAUUCUGCACAUGAGAAGAUUGUGGUUCUAUAUGGUCUUGCUCAAGGUUAUACAAUUAGUGUUGAGACAAAGAACUGUCAACCAGGCCUAUGGAAUUUUGAUAAUGAUGUAUCACUAGAUAAUAUUUAGCUUAUGCUAAUUCCUAAUUUUUACUUUCUUUGCAUAAUACCUCCUGAUAUUUGUAGAGCACUCAUAUUUAUUUUGAGCAAAAGCAGUCAUCCCCCUUCUUGUAUAAUAGUUGUUUACUCUUCUUCUGUCAGAGAACUCAUUUUCCCUCAAUUAAGCAUAAUCCUGCACAUUCAUGCCAACUUCUUUAACUUAAGGGGUCAUAUUGAAUUGCAAUUCUACUCUACUUGGUUUCAUCUUAACUUUAUGGAAGAGCUCCUAUAAGCCAGUCGCUGUCACGUAGCACCUCAUCUGAUCCUCCAGACAACCCUAUCUUAGGGAUAUUAUUAUUCACAUCUUAGAGUGGAAACAAAAUGAGUCAGAAAAAGAUUAAGCAGUAGACCCAAGGCUGUCCAUCUGCUGAGACCCAUGUCUUCUCUUUUGUGCUUAGGACAGCAUGUGACCUCUCACACAAUGGCAGCCAACCCGCAUAAUUUUCUUCUAGCAGUAAGUCAAAGAAUGGUGCUCUUUUUCCAACACACCUACCAUGGAAGUAAAUACUAAGUAGCAUAAUUAGCCAAGGCCAAUAGGUAGAGAAAGUCACAUACUCUUCAAGUUGAAGGUGAAUGAUAACUUCAACAUUCCCCACAACAGAGGUUAGUGAGAAGAAAGUGUAACUUUUCCUUUCAAUAUAUAGUCACAGCUAUGUAAACAAGGAGGAAAAUGAAGACGGUAGAUGGUAGAAGAUGCCUGGAGUCUGAAUGAAGGAGUGGUUGUUUCUGAGGGGGAUCAGGGAAAAUGCCUUGGAGGAAGGCCCCAGGCAUGCGUGAGCGGGAGGACUCAAAGAAGAAGACAUCAGGGCACAGGCAGUUGAGCCAGAUGUUAAGAGAAGGAGACCAAAGUGAGGACAGGUUUGGGAAAAGGCGUGAAAUGAAGAACUCCUGAAAUAACUGGGAGUAAUAAGCUGGGGCGGGGGGAGAUAGAUAAUUCUGGGUUUCCGUGUAUCUGAAGGGUAACCAGUCUAAGGCAGGUGAGACUUGCUCUGUGAAUUGAAAAUUCCAAGUUAUCGGUUAAUUAGGUUAUACACAGUCAGCAGUGGUCUCAGAAAAGCUAAGCCAAGAAGGAGGCACAUGGUUUCUAACCAUUAGACCUGCUCAGUAAUGGCAUGGCUUUCUUUGGAGAGAAAGCCACCCAGGAAACCCAGAGACCCCCCCCAGCCCAAGGAGCUGGGUUGUAGAAAGUAUUUCUGCAUUCUGGGGGGGAUGGGCUUAGAUAAACCCCAAAGGCACUUUCGUUUCUGAUUUUCUAAAAUUCCAAAAGCCCCACACAAGAAAGAACAUUUCAGACUGGAGAACAACAUGAGGGAGACUGGAUCUCCUCAGAAGAUGGGCCUUCCCUGUGCAAACAAUGCUCUGUCUCCAAGUGAAAGGAAUACUUUCCAAGGUACCAUCCAGCCUGGGUCUUAAAUUAGACCUAACAAUGCUUUUGCAUCUUAUAUUUUUUUACUG
This 4158-nucleotide long non-coding RNA is filed under the name Sus scrofa (pig). Its description in RNAcentral is "lncRNA (ENSSSCG00000060701.1)". The record is from RNAcentral. Lineage: Eukaryota; Metazoa; Chordata; Mammalia; Artiodactyla; Suidae.